Molecule: ribosomal RNA, 274 nt
Filed under: uncultured bacterium
Lineage: Bacteria
Description: partial 16S ribosomal RNA
Rfam family: Bacterial small subunit ribosomal RNA
Source: RNAcentral
AUACGGAGGGUCCGAGCGUUAUCCGGAAUCAUUGGGUUUAAAGGGUCCGUAGGCGGGAAUCUAAGUCAGUGGUGAAAUCUUGCAGCUCAACUGUAAAAUUGCCAUUGAUACUGGAUUUCUUGAAUUAGUGUGAAGUGGUUAGAAUGUGUAGUGUAGCGGUGAAAUGCAUAGGUAUUACACAGAAUACCAACUGCGAAGGCAGAUCACUAACACUAUAUUGACGCUGAGGGACGAAAGCGUGGGGAGCGAACAGGAUUAGAAACCCCAGUAGUCC